This 219-nucleotide long non-coding RNA is filed under the name Elaeis guineensis (African oil palm). RNAcentral describes it as "long non-coding RNA (EGUI_LNC004369)". Lineage: Eukaryota; Viridiplantae; Streptophyta; Magnoliopsida; Arecales; Arecaceae. The record is from RNAcentral.
UUGCUUAUUUCAUCUGUAGUUUCAUUUAUUUGAUCAAAUGGUUUCUCCACAUUUCUAAGCCAGCAAGACUGGCUUUUAUAAUGAUGAAUAAGCUAAUGAUUCAUAGAGAACAGUUUGUAUGUUUUUAUAGCUAUUAUCUGUGAGUCAUUAGCUGUCCAUCGUAAAAAAAUGCCAGCUUGAGAAAAAUGGAGAAACUGUUUGUCAAAUAAGUGGAACUAU